GACGAACGCUGGCGGCGUGCUUAACACAUGCAAGUCGAACGGAAAGGCCCUGCUUUUGUGGGGUGCUCGAGUGGCGAACGGGUGAGUAACACGUGAGUAACCUGCCCUUGACUUUGGGAUAACUUCAGGAAACUGGGGCUAAUAACGGAUAGGAGCUCCUGCUGCAUGGUGGGGGUUGGAAAGUUUCGGCGGUUGGGGAUGGACUCGCGGCUUAUCAGCUUGUUGGUGGGGUAGUGGCUUACCAAGGUUUUGACGGGUAGCCGGCCUGAGAGGGUGACCGGCCACAUUGGGACUGAGAUACGGCCCAGACUCCUACGGGAGGCAGCAGUGGGGAAUAUUGCACAAUGGGCGGAAGCCUGAUGCAGCAACGCCGCGUGCGGGAUGACGGCCUUCGGGUUGCAAACCGCUUUCGCCUGUGACGAAGCGUGAGUGACGGUAAUGGGUAAAGAAGCACCGGCUAACUACGUG
RNAcentral lists this ribosomal RNA (468 nucleotides) under uncultured bacterium. RNAcentral's name for it is "partial 16S ribosomal RNA". It matches the Rfam family "Bacterial small subunit ribosomal RNA", at positions 28 to 507 of the family's 1533-position model. The record is from RNAcentral.